GCAUGGUUGUCGUCAGCUCGUGCCGUGAGGUGUCGGUUAAGUCCCAUAACGAGCGCAACCCUACCUUUAGUGCCAUCAGGUAAUGCUGGGGACUCUAAAGGAACUGCCUACGCAAGUAGUGAGGAAGCGGGGAUGACGUCAAAUCAGCACGGCCCUUACGUCCAGGGCUACACACGUGCUACAAUGGCCGAUACAGAGGGCAGCUACCUGGUGACAGGAUGCAAAUCUCCAAAAGUCGGUCUCAGUUCGGAUCGGAGUCUGCAACCCGACUCCGUGAAGUUGGAUUCGCUAGUAAUCGCGCAUCAGCCAUGGCGCGGUGAAUACGUUCCCGGGCCUU
RNAcentral lists this ribosomal RNA (337 nucleotides) under uncultured Sphingobacteriales bacterium. RNAcentral describes it as "bacterial SSU rRNA". It matches the Rfam family "Bacterial small subunit ribosomal RNA", at positions 1043 to 1382 of the family's 1533-position model. Lineage: Bacteria; Pseudomonadati; Bacteroidota; Sphingobacteriia; Sphingobacteriales. The record is from RNAcentral.